This 444-nucleotide ribosomal RNA is filed under the name uncultured bacterium. RNAcentral's name for it is "partial 16S ribosomal RNA". It matches the Rfam family "Bacterial small subunit ribosomal RNA", at positions 338 to 795 of the family's 1533-position model. The record is from RNAcentral.
CCUACGUGAGGCAGCAGUGGGGCAUAUUGGGCAAUGGAGGCAACUCUUACCCAGCAAUGCCGCGUGAAUGAAGACGGUCUUCGGAUUGUAAAGUUCUUUAAUUGGGGACGAAAAAAAUGAAGGUACCCAAGGAAUAAGCCCCGGCUAACUACGUUGCAGCAGCCGCGGUAAUACGUAGGGGGCAAACGUUGGUCGGAAUGCCUGGGCGUACAGGUUGUGUAGGCGGUGUAGGAAGUUAGAAGUGAAAUACCUAGGGCUAAACUCAGGUACUGCUUUUAAAACUGCUAUACUUGAGUGUAGUAGAGGAAAGUGGAAUUCCUGGUGUAGGGGUGGAAUGCGUAGAUAUUAGGAGGAACAUCAGUGGCGAAGGCGACUUUCUGGACUGUAACUGACGCUGAGGCACGAAAGUGUGGGGAGCAAACAGGAUUAGAUACCCCAGUAGUC